Lolium perenne is the source of this 2082-nucleotide long non-coding RNA. RefSeq lists it as uncharacterized. The record is from RefSeq and is a predicted model, not a curated record. NCBI's taxonomy places the organism in Eukaryota, Viridiplantae, Streptophyta, Magnoliopsida, Poales, Poaceae.
GCAGUGGCUAGCGAUGGCUUCCGCAGCAAGCGGUAGCGGAAGAUGGAGUCAGGUCGGCGAAGAGGAGUGGCGUGGGGUUGACGGCCGUGACGGAGUGGUCGACAUGACCAUGUGCUCACCGGUGAUGCAGGCAGCAGGAAGAGCCAUAGUGGCGGCGGCGCUUCGACGCUUUGACCGAGGGAGAUGAGGGAACAUAGCAGCCGUCAGAGGAGCACAAGUAUUUUCUCGACCACACCUCUCUCUUGUGCACUCUUUCUGAGCCGCUGCCAUCAAAAGGCACACGUACUUCAUGUCCUUUGAUGAGGAGAGCACCCUCGCUGUCAUCCAUCCACGGCUCCGCUAGCCGAUCAAAAAGAGCGACGAGGGGGGAUAGAGGGUCGCAAUGCCAGGCGUACCUCCUUGACGGUGUACUGAAGCACUCUUCUUGCGGUGUACGCUCGCAGGUGGACAAGGAGCACACACAAAUAAAAAGUUGCAGAGAGUCCAUGGAUAUUGGACGGAAAUGAAGCAAUAGAGAGGACAGGCCCUAUAUGGUAAUGUACUGUUAUCAAAGUGAGCCAACUAUUGCCCCAUUUCUUAGUUUGAAUAGUAUGGUUUUGGUGUUUUUCAGAGCCCAACACAUACUACUCAUUUGUCUCUUUGGUUCAGCUACUAAGCGAGGUUGGAUCGAGAGAUGCGCAGCCCGGUGCAUGCAUGCACGAUCAUAUUCAAGCUGAGCCUGCUGAGGAAUGACAAGUUCCAAGGAGGGAUAUCAAAAUGCAAUCCGCUCCUUCCUACUUCAUCUCUCUUUCUUGAAUCAUGGUUGUAUCAGAAUAUUAUGGCUCACACACUUACUCAGGUUCAGUAGAACUUAAUCACUGAGUGUUUUAACUUUUUUGCUAAUCAUACACAGAUCUCCAUUCAUCCGAUGUAAGAACUGUAGAUGCCCAUCCUCUGGUUUGCAGCACAGCUCCACCUCACUAUAUUAGCUUGCAGUAGAAUAUUUGUAUUGUUCUUCAGCUCAUGACUAAAUAAGGGCGCUCCUGUGCUACCUCUCUGUUCGCUUUGGUUCGUCUGAUUGUUGUGUCCCAGGCAUCACAGAGUGCACCACUUCCAGACCAUAAUAAGACUUGAUGGGUGAAAGAAGAGGCGUAGUUAUUAUUUUCUUAAUCUACGAAUAGCGUAGCGGAAAAAACAUGUUUAUAUAAACGAAUUGUUUAACGCCAAGAUGCCAAUAGCAAUGAUGGAUAAAGCAACUCCCACGAGUAGGGCUCGAAAGUCACUUAUUUUUAUAUUGCUUGACCUUAUUUGCCAUGAACCUACCAAACUUCUCAAUUGUAUUGUCAUGGCACAUUACAAGGCUAUAAAUCUCGCUACCAGGAAUAUAUGCAUGAGAGCAUCCCCACUCGUUGGCGCUCCCCACGCCCAAAUCCGGCGAAAUUUUCGUCCGGAUUGGAUCAAUUUUUGGCAUGGGAGGCAGUAUAUUUCCAGUCGUGUGCUCUCCAAGCGGCGUUUCUCGGGGAAAAAGAGGAUGGCCCGGGGAGUCCGGACGAAAGAGGAGACACGUGGGCGUGGGCGGUUGGUUUUGCUCCAUCCGGAGUCCCCGAGAGAUACCCGGGAAAUCGAGGAUGGUCCGGGGAGUCCGGACGAAAUUAGGCCGUUUUCCGGACGAAAAUGAGAACCUGGGGGCGCGACUGAGUCGUUUUUCGCCGUCCGGAUGUAAAAAACUGGGGGGCUUCUCGGGGAGACGAGUGGAGAUGCUCUGACGUUCACUAUGGUUUUAAUUUCUCCGGUAAAAUCUUUUAUGCAAUAAUGUUCCAUUGAAAUGUCAAAAUUGAUCCCAGCCUAAAUCCCUGUCUCUUGUUGAAUGGUUCUCCAGGAAUAAUAGCAGUCUUGAUAUAAACUUGAUAAGUUAUUGUGCAUUGCAGGUCCUCUCCAUAAUUAUCAGAGAAGAUAAAACGUUGUCCUAUAUCUGCCGCACCAUCCUUUGGAGAUGCAAUUCUGAGCCGAUCAAGAAAAAAACUGAUCUGACCAUGAAUAGAUCAUGUAAUGCACACCAGAAGGAGAUCAGGGUGGAGAAAAGAUCUCCAGUGAUGCCGCCUC